UACAGAGGUCCCAAGCGUUGUCCGGAUUCACUGGGCGUAAAGGGUGCGUAGGUGGCCGGGUAAGUCUGACGUGAAAUCUCCGAGCCUAACUCGGAAACUGCAUCGGAUACUAUCCGGCUUGAGGGUUGGAGGGGGGACUGGAAUACUUGGUGUAGCAGUGAAAUGCGUAGAUAUCAAGUGGAACACCAGUGGCGAAGGCGAGUCCCUGGACAACUCCUGACACUGAGGCACGAAAGCUAGGGGAGCAAACAGG
This 253-nucleotide ribosomal RNA is filed under the name uncultured bacterium. Its description in RNAcentral is "partial 16S ribosomal RNA". It matches the Rfam family "Bacterial small subunit ribosomal RNA", at positions 524 to 776 of the family's 1533-position model. The record is from RNAcentral.